GAAGGACCCAUCAGGGUGUGGAACAGUGAACAAAAAUGCAUAUUUGUUAAUGGAAGCAUGCUCUGGCUUCCCCCAGCUCCUGAGAUCUUGUAUCUCCACAGUCAGAAGAAUUCAGAUUGAAAGCCAAAGCUCCAAGAGACUGAGUAACUGCCUGACCAUCCCUGCCGGAAGAAGCAGGGAAGCUGAGAGAUUGAUUUCUGCAUAUCCAGGCUAUCUCGGCACGAGGCCUAGCUGUCCUGCAACGUCUUGCAAACCUUGAGCACUGUCACGCAGUCUGAAACACACGACCUUCAAGUAGGAAAUAAAUCUUUUUAAACGAGUGUGAGAAGCACACAGAUCUUGAUGAAGUCCGUGUCCCACUUUUGCCAAAAGCAGAGAACAUACUGUCCAGGGUCAUCAAGAUGGGAAGCCAAGGCCGUACUGAACAAGGGGCCUGCUAGAGCCCUAACUGGGAUGCUGGCAUUACUCUAUCCUCACAGGAGAUGAGAGGACUGGAUGAUGGUGCACGGAGAGACCUCUCGAUUCUCAGAAGCACAUGGAGGCCGGGAGUGCAAUGACAAUAUCACGCUUCCACCAGGACACGUGGGGUGGGGUAGCCGAGUUACAGCCAAGAUAAUGCCUAUAUUUGGCUGCUGAGACAGAGAAAAAUCUUUAACUUUUGCUUUAAUAAAAUGCACAAUUUUGCAUGUUUUUAAAAGAAC
Molecule: long non-coding RNA, 701 nt
Filed under: Rattus norvegicus (Norway rat)
Lineage: Eukaryota; Metazoa; Chordata; Mammalia; Rodentia; Muridae
Description: long non-coding RNA NONRATT015720
Source: RNAcentral